ACUGUAGGCUGCAACUCGCCUACACGAAGCUGGAAUCGCUAGUAAUCGCGGAUCAGCACGCCGCGGUGAAUACGUUCCCGGGCCUUGUACACACCGCCCGUCACACCAUGAGAGUCUGUAACACCCAAAGCCGGUGGGAUAACCUUUAUAGGAGUCAGCCGUCUAAGGUAGGACAGAUGAUUAGGGUGAAGUCGUAACAAGGUAAC
RNAcentral lists this ribosomal RNA (206 nucleotides) under uncultured bacterium. RNAcentral describes it as "partial 16S ribosomal RNA". It matches the Rfam family "Bacterial small subunit ribosomal RNA", at positions 1297 to 1500 of the family's 1533-position model. The record is from RNAcentral.